GACACGAUGGCCGAGUGGUCUAAGGCGGUAGAUUUAAGCUUUGCUUAGAUCUCUACUACAGUAAUGUGCGUGGGUAUGUAUCUUCUGCAACCUCUAUCCUGUGGAAACUAUGCUAACGGCGGUAUCAGGUUCGAACCCCACUCGUGUCA
Pyrenophora tritici-repentis Pt-1C-BFP is the source of this 149-nucleotide transfer RNA. It matches the Rfam family "tRNA". From Rfam's summary of the family: Transfer RNA (tRNA) molecules are approximately 80 nucleotides in length. Their secondary structure includes four short double-helical elements and three loops (D, anti-codon, and T loops). Further hydrogen bonds mediate the characteristic L-shaped molecular structure. tRNAs have two regions of fundamental functional importance: the anti-codon, which is responsible for specific mRNA codon recognition, and the 3' end, to which the tRNAs corresponding amino acid is attached (by aminoacyl-tRNA synthetases). tRNAs cope with the degeneracy of the genetic code in two manners: having more than one tRNA (with a specific anti-codon) for a particular amino acid; and 'wobble' base-pairing, i.e. permitting non-standard base-pairing at the 3rd anti-codon position. The record is from Rfam. NCBI's taxonomy places the organism in Eukaryota, Fungi, Ascomycota, Dothideomycetes, Pleosporales, Pleosporaceae.